AUUGAACGCUGGCGGCAGGCCUAACACAUGCAAGUCGAACGGUAACACAAAACAGCUUGCUGCUUCGCUGACGAGUGGCGGGGGGGGGAGUAAUGUCCGUGAAGCUGCCUGAUGGAGGGGGGGAACUCCUGGAAACAGUAACGAAUACAGCAUAAAGGCGCAACAGGAGAGAGCAGGAGAUUCGCGCAUCUUGCCAUCGGGUGCGACCAGAUGGGAUUAGCUUGUUGGCGGGGUAACGGCUCACCAAGGCGACGAUCCCUAGCUGGUCUGAGAGGAUGAUCAGCCACACUGGAACUGAGACACGGUCCAGACUCCUACGGGAGGCAGCAGUGGGGAAUAUUGCACAAUGGGCGCAAGCCUGAUCCAGCCAUGCCGCGUGGAUGAAGAAGGCCUUCGGGUUGUAAAGUCCUUUCAUUGGGGAGGAAGGGCGUCAAGUUAAUACCCCGGCUUACUGACGUUACCCGAAGAAUAAGCACCGGCUAACUUCGUG
Molecule: ribosomal RNA, 490 nt
Filed under: uncultured bacterium
Lineage: Bacteria
Description: partial 16S ribosomal RNA
Rfam family: Bacterial small subunit ribosomal RNA
Source: RNAcentral